UACUUCGAGAGGAUUGUUGUGGGCAAC
This 27-nucleotide non-coding RNA is filed under the name Bombyx mori (domestic silkworm). The record is from RNAcentral. Lineage: Eukaryota; Metazoa; Arthropoda; Insecta; Lepidoptera; Bombycidae.